GACGAACGCUGGCGGCGUGCUUAACACAUGCAAGUCGAACGGAAAGGCCCUGCUUUUGUGGGGUGCUCGAGUGGCGAACGGGUGAGUAACACGUGAGUAACCUGCCCUUGACUUUGGGAUAACUUCAGGAAACUGGGGCUAAUACCGGAUAGCAGCUCCUGCUGCAUGGUGGGGGGUGGAAAGUUUCGGCGGUUGGGGAUGGACUCGCGGCUUAUCAGCUUGUUGGUGGGGUAGUGGCUUACCAAGGAUUUGACGGGUAGCCGGCCUGAGAGGGUGACCGGCCACAUUGGGACUGAGAUACGGCGCAGACUCCUACGGGAGGCAGCAGUGGCGAAUAUUGCACAAUGGGAGGGAGCCUGAUGCAGCAACGCCGCGUGCGGGAUGACGGCCUUCGGGUUGUAAACCGCUUUCGCCUGUGACGAAGCGUGAGUGACGGUAAUGAGUAAAGAAGCACCGGCUAACUACGUG
This 468-nucleotide ribosomal RNA is filed under the name uncultured bacterium. RNAcentral's name for it is "partial 16S ribosomal RNA". It matches the Rfam family "Bacterial small subunit ribosomal RNA", at positions 28 to 507 of the family's 1533-position model. The record is from RNAcentral.